Molecule: ribosomal RNA, 163 nt
Filed under: Arabidopsis thaliana (thale cress)
Lineage: Eukaryota; Viridiplantae; Streptophyta; Magnoliopsida; Brassicales; Brassicaceae
Description: 5.8S ribosomal RNA
Rfam family: 5.8S ribosomal RNA
About the family: 5.8S ribosomal RNA (5.8S rRNA) is a component of the large subunit of the eukaryotic ribosome. It is transcribed by RNA polymerase I as part of the 45S precursor that also contains 18S and 28S rRNA.
Source: RNAcentral
AAAACGACUCUCGGCAACGGAUAUCUCGGCCUCUCAUCGAUGAAGAACGUAGCGAAAUGCGAUACUUGGUGUGAAUUGCAGAAUCCCGUGAACCAUCGAGUCUUUGAACGCAAGUUGCGCCCCAAGCCUUCUCGGCCGAGGCACGUCCGCCCGGGUGUCACAA